GAAGCAGGUUUGAAUACGUUUAUUGUUCCUCAGUGCGUAAUUGACUGUGUUAUCAAUAGAGAGUGAUACAUUAUACAGUGACACAUAAAAGUGCGUCAUUUUGUAACGACUAAAAUGGAUUUACAAGGGCAUUUUGAACGUCCAGAAAUUAUCAACAACCCUAUAUACCAACUUUUAUUAAAUUCAGCUGAUGGCAAAAGUGUUUUAAAAUAUUAUCGAGAUAAUGGAUGCUUGAAGAAAACCUUAAGAAAUUUACUCAGCAGACUUAUACUCAGCCCUGAAAAAGAUAGACAAUUAGAAACAGUUCUCCAAGUGCCAUAAAGAUGCUCCUAUUUUUUACAAAGUAGAUAAUAUUAUAGUUUGUAGCAAUAUUAAAGUAUGUCUUAUUGUUAAAAAAUUAAUAAGUACAUUCCUCUACGAAAAAACUGAAUGUUAUCGAUUGUACAACGAUCAGUAUACGUGGGAUGUACUAAAUUUGGAUGACCUAUUUAGCUUUAAGAUUACAAAUCUUGUAAGAGCAUCUAAUGGUGCGAAAUUUAUUCUCAAAAAUUGGUUUUAAUUUAAAUAAAGAUAUAUUUAAUAAUUCAUAAAA
Molecule: long non-coding RNA, 592 nt
Filed under: Chelonus insularis
Lineage: Eukaryota; Metazoa; Arthropoda; Insecta; Hymenoptera; Braconidae
Description: uncharacterized LOC118070329
Source: RNAcentral